UCGAGAAUCUUCGUCAAUGGGCGCAAGCCUGAACGAGCGACGCCGCGUGCGGGAUGAAGGCCUUCGGGUUGUAAACCGCUGUCAGUGGGGAGGAAAUGCGGGAGGGUACUCCCUUCCGUUGGACCUAUCCGCAGAGGAAGUACGGGCUAAGUUCGUGCCAGCAGCCGCGGUAACACGAACCGUACGAACGUUAUUCGGAAUUACUGGGCUUAAAGGGUGCGUAGGCGGCUCAGAAAGUUGGGUGUGAAAGCCCUCGGCUCAA
This 262-nucleotide ribosomal RNA is filed under the name uncultured prokaryote. Its description in RNAcentral is "partial 16S ribosomal RNA". It matches the Rfam family "Bacterial small subunit ribosomal RNA", at positions 355 to 612 of the family's 1533-position model. The record is from RNAcentral.